CAAUGAACAGACUUCUUUGUGUAGUUUUCAUUAUAUUGCACUCUUAUUUUUCAUUAUGUACAUGCCUGCAAUUCGCAGCUCGCUGUUUUUGUUGUUGUAUGGUAUUGUUGUUUUGCCUUCAUUUGUUUUGUCUGGUCCUUUGUAGUUUGAAUGUUGUCACAUGAUCCAAAUAGGACAAGCUCCUUGAUCACCACCCCAUUGGGAAGAAACUAAAUCACGACCCCCAAAUGGUAGUCUUCCCAUGCAGAUACAGGGAUGUCACACAGAUCCAAAUGGAAACAUCGAACACUGUAAAACCCACUGUGCAGACAGGACCAAUGGUGACAAUAUAAGACCAUGCCGAGCUUCAUGGACGGUUCAAACUCAUCCUGCCCAGGAACGGCUGAUAUGAAAUGCAUAUUUAUAACUUGUCUAACAAGUAGCUCAUUCAAAGGUAUAAAAAAGUAUUUUUUGGCGUGUGUAGGGUAUUUUAACUAUGUAGCCUACAGAAUGCUUGUAUGGGCUCAUGUAGGUGUCUGCGUACGUUUGUAUUUAUAUAACAUAUGUCCGUGUGUAUAGAUUAUGUAUUUUUCAGGGAAGGACCAUAUUUGUGGUUGACCCCUAUGUUGUU
Molecule: long non-coding RNA, 610 nt
Organism: Corythoichthys intestinalis (scribbled pipefish)
Lineage: Eukaryota; Metazoa; Chordata; Actinopteri; Syngnathiformes; Syngnathidae
Exons: 4
Source: RefSeq, a predicted model, not a curated record